GGGGGCGUUUUGGCUUCGACGGGGGGGGAAGUGGUUUGCUAAGCGAGUCGAGGGAAGCAUGUGUCCUUGUUAAUAAAGUAUGCAUUAAAUGUAAACGCAGAAGACAAUUUUGCAUUAGCAGCUUAAUUUAAGCUACUCAUCAGUCCGGAUUGCCUACGGUUCGGGUAGCUGGUGUCAUAGAGUGGGAAACGAAGUCUAGCAAAGCUUUGAGCUAGAGGGGUAUUCAUGAAGCUACCGAAAAGAUAAGCCUGUUCAUGGGCGUGUCUUCUAGGGAAUUUUAAAACAUGAACUGCACUCGGAGAAAGGCAGAUGACGCUCCUUUCGGACACGGGUUCGACACCCGUCGCCUCCACCA
This 355-nucleotide transfer-messenger RNA is filed under the name Clostridium neonatale. Its description in RNAcentral is "Standard tmRNA". It matches the Rfam family "transfer-messenger RNA". Rfam says of the family: Bacterial tmRNA, also known as 10Sa RNA or SsrA, is named for its dual tRNA and mRNA-like properties. The record is from RNAcentral. Lineage: Bacteria; Bacillati; Bacillota; Clostridia; Eubacteriales; Clostridiaceae.